RNAcentral lists this transfer RNA (69 nucleotides) under Anolis agassizi. Its description in RNAcentral is "tRNA-Trp". It matches the Rfam family "tRNA". From Rfam's summary of the family: Transfer RNA (tRNA) molecules are approximately 80 nucleotides in length. Their secondary structure includes four short double-helical elements and three loops (D, anti-codon, and T loops). Further hydrogen bonds mediate the characteristic L-shaped molecular structure. tRNAs have two regions of fundamental functional importance: the anti-codon, which is responsible for specific mRNA codon recognition, and the 3' end, to which the tRNAs corresponding amino acid is attached (by aminoacyl-tRNA synthetases). tRNAs cope with the degeneracy of the genetic code in two manners: having more than one tRNA (with a specific anti-codon) for a particular amino acid; and 'wobble' base-pairing, i.e. permitting non-standard base-pairing at the 3rd anti-codon position. Lineage: Eukaryota; Metazoa; Chordata; Lepidosauria; Squamata; Anolidae. The record is from RNAcentral.
AGAAACUUAGGAUAAAAUUAAACCAAGAGCCUUCAAAGCUUAAAAUAUGAGUUAACCCUCAUAGUUUCU